RNAcentral lists this ribosomal RNA (197 nucleotides) under uncultured bacterium. RNAcentral describes it as "partial 16S ribosomal RNA". It matches the Rfam family "Bacterial small subunit ribosomal RNA", at positions 335 to 524 of the family's 1533-position model. The record is from RNAcentral.
ACUCCUACGGGAGGCAGCAGUGGGGAAUUUUGGACAAUGGGCGCAAGCCUGAUCCAGCCAUGCCGCGUGUCUGAAGAAGGCCUUCGGGUUGUAAAGGACUUUUGUUAGGGAGCAAGUCCUGCAGGUUAAGAGCCAGUAGGGAUGAGAGUACCUAAAGAAUAAGCACCGGCUAACUACGUGCCAGCAGCCGCGGUAAU